CAUUGCUGGAACGCGCCCUAGGCGCACCCAGAAACCCUUUGUGAACUUAUACCUUACUGUUGCCUCGGCGCAUGCUGGCCCCCUCGGGGUCCCCUGGAGACAGGGAGCAGGCACGCCGGCGGCCAAGUUAACUCUUGUUUUUACACUGAAACUCUGAGAAAAAAACACAAAUGAAUCAAAACUUUCAACAACGGAUCUCUUGGUUCUGGCAUCGAUGAAGAACGCAGCGAAAUGCGAUAAGUAAUGUGAAUUGCAGAAUUCAGUGAAUCAUCGAAUCUUUGAACGCACAUUGCGCCCUCUGGUAUUCCGGAGGGCAUGCCUGUUCGAGCGUCAUUUCAACCCUCAAGCAUUGCUUGGUGUUGGGGCACUGCCUGUAAAAGGGCAGGCCCUGAAAUCUAGUGGCGAGCUCGCUAGGACCCCGAGCGUAGUAGUUAAACCCUCGCUUUGGAAGGCCCUGGCGGUGCCCUGCCGUUAAACCCCCAACUUUUGAAAAUUUGACCUCGGAUCAG
Molecule: unclassified non-coding RNA, 509 nt
Filed under: leaf metagenome
Description: partial contains internal transcribed spacer 1, 5.8S ribosomal RNA, and internal transcribed spacer 2
Rfam family: 5.8S ribosomal RNA (bases 180-333)
Source: RNAcentral